This 279-nucleotide ribosomal RNA is filed under the name uncultured bacterium. RNAcentral describes it as "partial 16S ribosomal RNA". It matches the Rfam family "Bacterial small subunit ribosomal RNA", at positions 506 to 784 of the family's 1533-position model. The record is from RNAcentral.
UGCCAGCCGCCGCGGUAAUACGAGGGGACCUAGCGUAGUUCGGAAUUACUGGGCUUAAAGAGUUCGUAGGUGGUUAAAAAAGUUGGUGGUGAAAUCCCAGAGCUUAACUCUGGAACUGCCAUCAAAACUUUUUAGCUAGAGUAUGAUAGAGGAAAGCAGAAUUUCUAGUGUAGAGGUGAAAUUCGUAGAUAUUAGAAAGAAUACCAAUUGCGAAGGCAGCUUUCUGGAUCAUUACUGACGCUGAGGAACGAAAGCAUGGGUAGCAAACAGGAUUAGAUA